GUGUCAGCAGCCGCGGUAAUACGGAGGGGGCAAGCGUUGUUCGGAUUUACUGGGCGUAAAGGGUCCGUAGGCGGUUGUGUAAGUCUGGUGUGAAAUCUUCGCCGCUUAACGGGAAGCAGCCACUGGAAACUGCAUAACUUGAGUCUGGUAGAGGCAAGCGGAAUUCCUGGUGUAGCGGUGGAAUGUGUAGAUAUCAGGAAGAACAUCUGUGGCGAAGGCGGCUUGCUGGGCCAGUACUGACGCUGAGGGACGAAAGCGUGGGGAGCAAACGGGAUUAGAUACCCCGGUAGUCCACGCCGUAAACGGUGCAUGCUAGGUGUAGGGGGUAUCGACCCCUCCUGUGCCGACGUUAACACAUUAAGCAUGCCGCCUGGGGAGUACGGCCGCAAGGUUGAAACUCAAAGGAAUUGACGG
This 414-nucleotide ribosomal RNA is filed under the name uncultured bacterium. RNAcentral describes it as "bacterial SSU rRNA". It matches the Rfam family "Bacterial small subunit ribosomal RNA", at positions 505 to 916 of the family's 1533-position model. The record is from RNAcentral.